AUUUUUAUGUAUGUUUAUAAUUAAUAUAGGGCAUUUCGUUCUAUUCCUAUGAAUGAACGGGUUAGGAAUAUCAAUUGGAAGCAAUGCAAAUGCCCAAUACAACCGGGAGGUGUUGAGUGUGGAUAUUAUUUCAUGCGAUACAUGUUUGAUAUCAUGACCAAAUAUUCAUCUGUUAAUUGUUUGGAUGAGGCAUUUGAAAGCAAUAAUCUGUACUCUAUCAACCAAAUAAAUGAGAUUCGAGAGUUAUGGGCAAAAUACUUCUUGGAAGAGUGC
This is a long non-coding RNA of Ipomoea nil (Japanese morning glory), 273 nucleotides long. RefSeq lists it as uncharacterized. The transcript has 3 exons. Lineage: Eukaryota; Viridiplantae; Streptophyta; Magnoliopsida; Solanales; Convolvulaceae. The record is from RefSeq and is a predicted model, not a curated record.